Molecule: ribosomal RNA, 501 nt
Filed under: uncultured bacterium
Lineage: Bacteria
Description: partial 16S ribosomal RNA
Rfam family: Bacterial small subunit ribosomal RNA
Source: RNAcentral
AUUGAACGCUGGCGGCAGGCUUAACACAUGCAAGUCGAGCGGAGAUGAGGUGCUUGCACCUUAUCUUAGCGGCGGACGGGUGAGUAAUGCUUAGGAAUCUGCCUAUUAGUGGGGGACAACAUUCCGAAAGGAAUGCUAAUACCGCAUACGCCCUACGGGGGAAAGCAGGGGAUCUUCGGACCUUGCGCUAAUAGAUGAGCCUAAGUCGGAUUAGCUAGUUGGUGGGGUAAGGGCCUACCAAGGCGACGAUCUGUAGCGGGUCUGAGAGGAUGAUCCGCCACACUGGGACUGAGACACGGCCCAGACUCCUACGGGAGGCAGCAGUGGGGAAUAUUGGACAAUGGGCGGAAGCCCGAUCCAGCCAUGCCGCGUGUGUGAAGAAGGCCUUUUGGUUGUAAAGCACUUUAAGCGAGGAGGAGGCUACCUGGAUUAAUACUCUAGGAUAGUGGACGUUACUCGCAGAAUAAGCACCGGCUAACUCUGUGCCAGCCGCCGCCGUAA